Molecule: ribosomal RNA, 1086 nt
Filed under: Triticum aestivum (bread wheat)
Lineage: Eukaryota; Viridiplantae; Streptophyta; Magnoliopsida; Poales; Poaceae
Description: partial small subunit ribosomal RNA
Source: RNAcentral
AUGACGAUGGCCGCGCGGCCGAUCCCCUCCUGUCCCGCCACCGUCUCCCUGCCCGCCCCGCUCCUCUUUCUGCCGCCGAUUUCUCGGAAGCCGUCGGUCGCCUUAUCCUGCAGCAGCAGAGCACGCCGCGGCGCCCGAUGCUCUGCCGCGAACAAGCCCUCCCCUCCUCCCCCUUCUGGCGCCCCGGGCAACGAGGUAAGCGGCGGCAGCAGCAGCUCCAUGGCCAAGAUAAGGAGCGAGGUGCUGUCCCCCUUCCGGUCGGUGCGCAUGUUCUUCUACCUGGCCUUCAUGGCCAGCGCGGGCCUGGGUAGCCUCAUCGCGCUCACGCAGCUCCUCCCGGCGCUGGGGAACCCCGCGAGGGCGGCGGGGGUCCCGGAGACGCUCAAGGGCCUGGGCAUCGACGUGGCGGCGGUGGCCGUCUUCGCGUUCCUCUACUCGCGCGACCGCAAGGCCAGCGACGCGCAGGUGGCCAGGCUGACGCGGGAGGAGAACCUGUCGAGGCUCAAGCUCCGCGUCGGCGACGGCGGCCGGGUGGUGCCGCUGAGCGAGCUGCGGGGCAGCGCGCGGCUCGUCAUCGUCGCCGGCCCCGCCGAGUUCGUCGCCGAGUCGUUCCGCCGGAGCAGGCCGUUCCUCAGGGACCUCAUGGAGAGGGGCGUGCUGGUGCUGCCCUUCCCCACGGACGGCAACGCGCCGGCGCUGGAGUUCGGCGAGGAGGGCGACGGGGAGGGGGAGGCGGAGGCGGAGGACGAGGAGGUCGCCAGGAAGAGCAGGAGGCUCUGGCAGCUCACGCCGGUGUACACCUCCGAGUGGGCAAAAUGGUUGGCUGAGCAGAAGAAGAUGGCGAAUGUGACGCCUGAUUCCCCUGUGUGGGUAGCAAUGCAGAUUCGUCUGAACAUUUCAGCUGUUCGGGUUGUUGGAUUGUUGAUGAUCGAAUUGCUUGUGCGCAGGUACCUAUCGCUGAGGAUGGACGGGCGCGUCCGGGGCAGCGGCGUGGGCUACCCGCCAUGGCAAGCGUUCGUGGCGCAGCUGCCGCAGGUCAAAGGGAUGUGGUCGGGUCUUUUUGAUGGGAUGGACGGGAGAGUCUAG